GCAGCGGUAUCGAAGUGGUCAUAACGGGGCUGACUCGAAAUCAGUUUGAGAGAGAUCUCACGAGGGUUCGAAUCCCUCCCGCUGCGCCA
Molecule: transfer RNA, 89 nt
Filed under: Oscillibacter sp.
Lineage: Bacteria; Bacillati; Bacillota; Clostridia; Eubacteriales; Oscillospiraceae
Description: tRNA-Ser
Rfam family: tRNA
About the family: Transfer RNA (tRNA) molecules are approximately 80 nucleotides in length.
Source: RNAcentral